This 380-nucleotide long non-coding RNA is filed under the name Salmo salar (Atlantic salmon). Its description in RNAcentral is "lncRNA (ENSSSAG00000091125.1, ENSSSAG00020076237.1)". Lineage: Eukaryota; Metazoa; Chordata; Actinopteri; Salmoniformes; Salmonidae. The record is from RNAcentral.
GUUCAUUUGAGCAAUAUGAGAUGGAACGGAGUUCCAUGCAAUAAUGGCUCUAUAUACUCCUGUAUACUUUCUUGAAUUUGUUCUGGAUUUGGGGACUGUGAAAAGACCCGAAGUUGCAUGUCUGGUGGGCUGUUCAAAUGCUUUGAUGGAUGUAGAGUGGAAGACAGAUCCAACUCAGAUUUCCUCUGAGAAAUACAGCUCAGAAGACAAGAGCUCAGUGGAGGUUCCAGUGCUCCCGGUUUUGACCUUUGCCUGUUGCUGGACUCUGAACUCGCCUGCCUGACCAGUCUGCCUGCCUUGACCACGAGCCUGUCUGCCACUCUGUACCUCCUGGACUCUGAUCUGGUUUUGACCUUUUGCCUGUCCAUGACCAUUCUCUU